GUUCAAAUUUUCUAUAAAAACGCUCAAACUAAAGUUGAACGGGUAAAUAAUGACAAAUUGCAUUCUGGCACAGAAAUCCAGAACUUCCGCGACCAUCCACUUCUGUUGCAAUUUAGCUCAUUGAAAAUAACGAGCAAUGCCAAUGGAAUCAUUGUUCCGGAAGAAUGAAAACAAAAGGAAUGUGCAGCUAGUUCUUCUGACGAUCAAUGUUGGCCAAUUAUGAACCAUUACAAUUACAAACAUAUGAUCCCACAAAUCGUCCUACGCUACUCUAUUCCUAUCCACUCUCAUCCACCCUACUUGUUAAAGUUUUCUAAAUUCCCGUCUUUAUUAAUAAAUUCAUUUUACCAACAGACAAUGGCAUUUGCCCUAGCAAAUGAUUCUGUUUCAAUUUUUCAAUACAUAUAAACCAUCUAUAAUAAAUUUUAUUUUAAUAAUAUUUAUUUUUUAAAAUUUUAAAAAUUUAAAAUUUAAAUUAAAUUAAUAAAAAAAUACAAAUAUAUCUAUUUUCUUUCUCUAAAAUGGUUUAUUCUCACCACCGUAAUGGGUUGUCAUCAUGUACUGCCGUUGACACUUGCCAGUGCCGCUUUCCUUGUUCUCUUCUCUCUCUUAUCCAUGUACUUCAAUGUAAACGACUCAUUUGCAUUGCAUCCACUCGGUUCGCAAAUAAGAACUUAGUUUCCCACGCCUCAACUUCUUUAAAGGAUAUAUUUGAGUAAUCGCAUGCACCUACAUCGACAUAAACACAGAAUGAAUUGAGAAGGCAAUAACCUCUAUCGCAAAUGAAAAUGUUCAGAGAUGGUUUUAUAUAAAACUAUUUACAUCUUGCCAAUGCCACCACAGUCCGAUGAUUCAAAUUAUCGGAAAUUCAACUCGUGUCCCCACUUACUAUCAAUGGACCCACAGGAAUUUUAGUAUCAAACUGACAUAUGCGUAUUGUGACAAUAACAGUGUACCUAUACAAGUUAAUGGUGCCUCAUAAUCUGGAAAGAGGAAAAAAAAAAGUAUAAGGAGGGGAGAAAAGUGGGGGUAGAGGAGGAGUGGGGUGGUGGGAGUGAUAGGUCACCGUGAACAUUUGAAAGCCAGCUGCUGAGGAAAACUCUUACUGGCACCCGUAAAUGCGGGACUUAACGCAUACAAGAAUAACAGAAUAAAAAUAGUCAGUCCCGUCUCCCCACAGAUCCAUAUUUCAUCUACUCCAAUGGUCCACUUCAAUAGAUACCCAACAUCAGAAUUGCACCAGCAAGGUGCCACCAUCCAUCAAAUCAAGCCGCAAUCAACAGUUAAAAUUUUUCUUUAUUCACAGGUGGAAGACCUCAAAAUUAAAAUAAGGGUCCCAGACUCCCAGUACGUGGAAUAUGCAAGCUUACUCAAAUAGCACUCUCAAAAGAAACCAGGAUUUGUUCAAUAUACUUGGGCUUUGGACACGAAGCAGUUGCAAGGCCUUGAAGCAAUUUCACAACAUCAACGGCAUCAUCGAGAUAAUAUCUAGCCUUGCUUGGCUUCCGCCCAACAGUGCAGGCGAAGAUCUCUGGUGCCAUAGGCAAAGUUGGACCAGAAACUGUGCUUAGUAUACUCUCAAACAUGUCCUCAUCUGAUUUAUCAUCACCAAUGCACAGCACAAAAUCAGGUGGCUUCCCACGAUUAACCAUAUUCGAAAGAACCUUUUCAGCAACAGAUCCUUUACUUAUUCCCUGUGGCUUAACUUCAACAAUAUGUUGGCCGCGCUUAACAACAGCAGGUUCAUUUGCAAGGACAUUUUCAAGAUGAUCCAACAAUUCUUUGGCCUGGCAAGAUCCAAAAUCUGGAUCAGCGUAUUGAUGAUGCCACACCAAGGCACUCUCCUUGGUCUCUAUAUAGGAGCCAUCAGUUGCUUCUGUAUACAAUUUUAUCACAGGUUCUGCAAUUUUUUUCCAAUCAAAAUCUGCCACCAAGGAACUGGUUUCCCAACUGGACAUCCUAUUCCACCUCAUUAAGUAUCCAUGCUCCGCUGCUAUACCAAGAUUCUCACAUUGAACAAACCAUUCACUCAGAGAAUCUUUCCCCCUUCCACUAACUAUAAACACAGUGUUCUUAGGGUCACUACAAAGGUUGUUCAGGACAGAUAUAACUUCAGCACUGGGAGUUUUAACAAUGGAAGUUUGAGGCACCACUGUUCCAUCAUAAUCCAAAAAUAUCGCCCUUCUAUAUGUCCUCUUGUAUGCAGAGACAAUAUGUUCAUUGGAAAGCUUCCUAAAGCUUGGUGAAAGUGACAAAAUCCUAAAAUUCAGCCCAAAACCAAUACCCCAGCAACGUUUACUGUAAUGAUCUUUGCAAGCUCGCUCCAAGUCCUGCAUAAAACUGUAGGCCCAGUAUGCCACAUCAUGGAAGCUGAUAUAUCGAUAGUGCUUCUCAUGCCUCAACUGCUUCUCUAAAUCAGGCAUGGUGAGGGCCAGAUUUAAUGCAUCUGCUACAGCUUCAACAUCCCAUGGGUUUACCCUUAUUGCACCACUUAAAGAUGGCGAGCAACCGAUAAACUCUGAAACAACAAUUGUACUUGAAUGAGGCAAUCGAUAAUCAACUCCCAAAGCUUCAUCCAUUUUAGGAGUCCCCUGCCUACAGACAAUGUACUUGUAUGGGAUCAGGUUCAUUCCAUCCCUCACAGCAUUUACAAUACAACAUUCAGCCAAUGCAUAGUAGGCUGUUUUCUCAUAAAAAGGUACAUGACGAUCAAUCAGGACCACUGGUUCAUAUCCUGGAAAACCAAAAGUCCUGUUUAUCCUUUUGGUAGUCGAGUAUGUCUCCUUUUUUGCUUCUUGUACAUCUUUCCCAGAGCUCCUAGCAGGAUUUACAAUUUGAACCAUGACAACUUUUCCCUGCAACUCAGGAUUCUGCUGCAAAAGUCGUUCCAUGGCUAACAAUUUCAGACUGAUGCCCUUGAAAAUGUCCAUGUCAUCAACCCCAACAAUAAUCUUUUUCCCCUCAAACUGCUUUUGAAUUUCUUUAACCUUGAUGGAAGAAGAGGGGUGAUUUAGAGCAGACUCUAAUCGGCCCAUAUGAACUCCGACAGGCAAAAUUUUGAUGUAUACUGUGCGUCCAAAAUACUCAAGUCCAAUAUGACCACGUUUUGAUUCAUAGUCUAGGCCCAACAUUCGGCUGCAACAGGACAGAAAGUGACGAGCAUAAUCAAAUGUAUGAAAACCAAUUAAAUCUGCAUUCAGCAGUGCUUUUAGAAUUUCAUUUCUGACUGGCAGAGUUCGGUAAAUUUCUGAUGAAGGGAAUGGGCUGUGAAGGAAGAAGCCAAGCUUAACUCGAUAGAAACGCUUCCUCAAGAAAGUAGGGAGCACCAUUAGGUGAUAGUCAUGAACCCAAACAUAAUCUUCUUCAGGAUUGAUCACUUCCAUAACCUUAUCCGCAAAAACUUUAUUAGCAGAGACAUAGGCCUGCCAAAGCAACUUGUCAAAGCGAUCACCAUGAUCAGGGCACAUUGGGAGCAUAUAAUGGAAAAGGGGCCAUAAUUGGUGCUUACAGAAUCCAUGGUAGAACUUUUUGUGAAGAUCAGGAGGAAGAAAUGUGGGUACACAGUUAAAUUCCUCCAACAAUUUCUGGGAAACUUCUUCUUGUUCACUUGUAUCUACAUCAACCUUCAGAGAUCCCACAUAAACAACCUCAGUAUUAAUUGAGAAUCCAUCCUUCAUUUGUAACAAAAGUGAAUCCUCAUCAAAACUGAAUGACCAUUUGCUUGAUUUCAAAUCCUUUUGAGCAUGUAGAGGAAGAAAAUUUGCCACUAUAAUUUUCUUCUUGCGGCAUCCAGACAAUGGAGCAUCUGAAUCUCCAUCAUUACUUCCAUCACCAUCUGUGUCAGAAAAAAUUCCUGGAACAGUCAUCACCCUUGGGAGAGAUCUGGGAGUUUGAGGGAGAUUCAACAUGUCUCCAGAUACUAAGUCCAACAAAUUUAUACAAGAUCUUGACAUCAUUGUUGCCAGCUUUUGUUUUAAUGUUUCUGGGUGUUUAUUUGAAGCUAUGAAGAUAUUGCACAAUCGAUACUUUGCCUUUCUUCCAAACAAGAUCUUGACGAGCUAAUGUAAAGUAUAGAGAUUUAAAUAACUGCACGAAUGGGGGGAAAAACACUUGUGAACUUUGCUAGGGUUCAUGAUGCCACAUCUGCACAACAGGGCAAUUUUUUAGUUUCCCCACAUGCUUAAGCAUAACAUUUGAACAUAAUAUGUGCAGUUCUGCACUAGGAAAUGGAGCCUUCCAACCAUCUCAAGUUAAUAUGCAGGAAUAGCAAUUAGCAAAGAUUCAAAACCAAAACUAAGAUGAAAUGCAAGAGAAGCACAGCUGUUAUUAACAUUGCAUAGAAAUGAUCAGAAAAAAUACAUGCUCGAAAAGAAAAGUCAAGGAAGGCUGUCCUUUGGUUUUUCAAUAAGACUCUCAGAACAAAUGGUUGAAUAAAACCGACUAGGGAUUGGCCAAGUAUUCCAACCCAAUCCCACAAGCAUUCAACUUUAACCAAUCCCCCUCUCAUAAUUAUUGACUUUUCAAUAAUAAACUCAGUUCACUACAAUGAUUAUUUAUCAAAGGAAAUAACGAAGAAAAUUAAAAU
RNAcentral lists this unclassified non-coding RNA (4585 nucleotides) under Hevea brasiliensis (rubber tree). Lineage: Eukaryota; Viridiplantae; Streptophyta; Magnoliopsida; Malpighiales; Euphorbiaceae. The record is from RNAcentral.